ACGCCAGCGCCACUGGGGCAAGUGGGUGGCGGAGAUCCGCCUCCCCAAGAACCGCACGCGGCUGUGGCUGGGCACCUUCGACACCGCCGAGGACGCGGCGCUCGCCUACGACAAGGCGGCGUUCCGCCUCCGCGGCGACAUGGCGCGCCUCAACUUCCCCGCCCUCCGCCGCGGCGGCGCGCACCUGGCCGGCCCGCUCCACGCCUCCGUGGACGCCAAGCUCACCGCCAUCUGCCAGUCCCUCGCCGGGUCCAAGAGCGGCUCCCCUGACGCCGAGUCCUCGGCCGCGUCCCCGCCGGACUCGCCCAAGUGCUCGGCGUCGACGGAGGGGGAGGAGGAGUCGGUCUCCGCCGGCUCCCCGCCUUCACCGCCGCUGGCGCCGCCCGUCCCGGAGAUGGCGAAGCUGGACUUCACGGAGGCGCCGUGGGACGAGACGGAGGCCUUCCACCUGCGCAAGUACCCGUCCUGGGAGAUCGACUGGGACUCCAUCCUCUCAUGAGCAAUCAACUGCAACUACUGUAGUAGUAGCAGCAAAGAUUCAGUCAGUCAGCUCAAUGACAGCUCUGUGUAAUUUUCA
RNAcentral lists this long non-coding RNA (577 nucleotides) under Setaria italica (foxtail millet). RNAcentral describes it as "long non-coding RNA (SITA_LNC000717)". Lineage: Eukaryota; Viridiplantae; Streptophyta; Magnoliopsida; Poales; Poaceae. The record is from RNAcentral.